AAGACAAACGAAUAUGACAGCUUGCUGUGAGAGACAACGGGACAGAUGAGACACAUAUGUGUUUAUCUGCUGUAGAGUAACUGAUGAAGGAAUGCUAACAUCAAAGGAUUUGUAUCUUUUGUGGUGGAGCAGGACCUGCAAGGAAAGAUGAAAAAGAGGGAAAACCUGAAAAAAGAAUAAUGUAAUGACUUUUUGUAUUGUGUAUGUGUAUUUUUGUAGGACAUGAAAAUGUCUGUAGACUUGUGUGUGCACUGAGAAUGGAGAAGACCACAGCAUCAUCCUGGAAAUGAUCGAGAGUCACAGAUGAGACGCUCCAUCACUCCAGCUCUUACUGUCUCAUCAGGACCAGAUGCUGCUCUGGUGUCUUCAUCCUUAGUGACCCCAGAGCCAGUGAGAGCUUCUAGAGAAAGACCACAAGACACUGAGGAUGUGAUUUUGGUAAUGUUUGUUCAGCUGGUUAAUGU
Long non-coding RNA from Carassius auratus (goldfish), 464 nucleotides. RefSeq lists it as uncharacterized. The record is from RefSeq and is a predicted model, not a curated record. The transcript is spliced from 3 exons. NCBI's taxonomy places the organism in Eukaryota, Metazoa, Chordata, Actinopteri, Cypriniformes, Cyprinidae.